Molecule: ribosomal RNA, 762 nt
Filed under: uncultured bacterium
Lineage: Bacteria
Description: bacterial SSU rRNA
Rfam family: Bacterial small subunit ribosomal RNA
Source: RNAcentral
GGGCGAGUAAAGUGGCGCACGGGUGAGUAACGCAUGGAUAAUCUACCCUUAAGAUGGGGAUAACGGCUGGAAACGGUCGCUAAUACCGAAUACGCUCCCGAUUUUAUCAUUGGGGGGAAGGAUGGCCUCUGCUUGCAAGCUAUCGCUUAAGGAUGAGUCCGCGUCCCAUUAGCUAGUUGGCGGGGUAACGGCCCACCAAGGCAACGAUGGGUAGCCGGUCUGAGAGGAUGACCGGCCACACUGGAACUGGAACACGGUCCAGACUCCUACGGGAGGCAGCAGUGGGGAAUAUUGCGCAAUGGGCGAAAGCCUGACGCAGCGACGCCGCGUGAGGGAUGAAGGUUCUCGGAUCGUAAACCUCUGUCAGGGGGGAAGAAACCCCCUCGUGUGAAUAAUGCGAGGGCUUGACGGUACCCCCAAAGGAAGCACCGGCUAACUCCGUGCCAGCAGCCGCGGUAAUACGGAGGGUGCAAGCGUUAAUCGGAAUCACUGGGCGUAAAGCGCACGUAGGCGGCUUGGUAAGUCAGGGGUGAAAUCCCACAGCCCAACUGUGGAACUGCCUUUGAUACUGCCAGGCUUGAGUACCGGAGAGGGUGGCGGAAUUCCAGGUGUAGGAGUGAAAUCCGUAGAUAUCUGGAGGAACACCGGUGGCGAAGGCGGCCACCUGGACGGUAACUGACGCUGAGGUGCGAAAGCGUGGGUAGCAAACAGGAUUAGAUACCCUGGUAGUCCACGCUGUAAACGAUGGGUGCUGGGUGCUGG